UCCUUAUUGGCUUAGGUGGUUAUGGUGUUGGAUUCUGGCUUUUGCCGAACCCAAGAGUUUUUGAGUUCAAUUCCCGACUCAGGCA
Mycena metata is the source of this 85-nucleotide non-coding RNA. The record is from the annotation of a GenBank genome assembly. Lineage: Eukaryota; Fungi; Basidiomycota; Agaricomycetes; Agaricales; Mycenaceae.